This 325-nucleotide ribosomal RNA is filed under the name uncultured bacterium. RNAcentral's name for it is "bacterial SSU rRNA". It matches the Rfam family "Bacterial small subunit ribosomal RNA", at positions 28 to 353 of the family's 1533-position model. The record is from RNAcentral.
GACGAACGCUGGCGGCGUGCUUAACACAUGCAAGUCGAGCGGUAAGGCCCUUUCGGGGGUACACGAGCGGCGAACGGGUGAGUAACACGUGGGUGACCUGCCCUCAGCUCUGGGAUAAGCCUGGGGAAACCGGGUCUAAUACUGGAUAUGACUCCAUGACGCAUGUUGGUGGGGUGGAAAGCCUUGUGCGGCUGAGGAUGGGCCCGCGGCCUAUCAGCUUGUUGGUGGGGUGAGGCCUACCAAGGCGACGACGGGUAGCCGGCCUGAGAGGGCGACCGGCCACACUGGGACUGAGACACGGCCCAGACUCCUACGGGAGGCAGCA